AGUGAACGCUGGCGGUAGGCCUAACACAUGCAAGUCGAACGGCAGCACAGUAAGAGCUUGCUCUUACGGGUGGCGAGUGGCGGACGGGUGAGGAAUACAUCGGAAUCUACUUUUUCGUGGGGGAUAACGUAGGGAAACUUACGCUAAUACCGCAUACGACCUACGGGUGAAAGCAGGGGAUCUUCGGACCUUGCGCGAUUGAAUGAGCCGAUGUCGGAUUAGCUAGUUGGCGGGGUAAAGGCCCACCAAGGCGACGAUCCGUAGCUGGUCUGAGAGGAUGAUCAGCCACACUGGACCUGAGACACGGUCCAGCCUCCUACGGGAGGCAGCAGUGGGGAAUAUUGGACAAUGGGCGCAAGCCUGAUCCAGCCAUACCGCGUGGGUGAAGAAGGCCUUCGGGUUGUAAAGCCCUUUUGUUGGGAAAGAAAAGCAGCAGGUUAAUACCCCGCUGUUCUGACGGUACCCAAAGAAUAAGCACCGGCUAACUUCGUG
This 492-nucleotide ribosomal RNA is filed under the name uncultured bacterium. RNAcentral's name for it is "partial 16S ribosomal RNA". It matches the Rfam family "Bacterial small subunit ribosomal RNA", at positions 29 to 507 of the family's 1533-position model. The record is from RNAcentral.